AGCGGCGGACGGGUGAGUAACACGUGGGCAACCUGCCUCAUAGAGGGGAAUAGCCUCCCGAAAGGGAGAUUAAUACCGCAUAAGAUUGUAUCUUCGCAUGAAGUAGCAAUUAAAGGAGCAAUCCGCUAUGAGAUGGGCCCGCGGCGCAUUAUCUAGUUGGUGAGGUAACGGCUCACCAAGGCGACUAUGCGUACCCGACCUGAGAGGGUGAUCGGCCACAUUGGGACUGAGACACGGCCCACACUCCUACGGGAGGCAGCAGUGGGGAAUAUUGCACAGUGGGGGAAACCCUGAUGCAGCAACGCCGCGUGAGUGAUGACGGCCUUCGGGUUGUAAAGCUCUGUCUUCGGGGACGAUAAUGACGGUACCUGAAGAGGAAGCCACGGCUAACUACGUGCCAGCAGCCGCGGUAAUACGUAGGUGGCGAGCGUUGUCCGGAUUUACUGGGCGUAAAGGGAGCGUAGGCGGACUUUUAAGUGAGAUGUGAAAUACCCGGGCUCAACUUGGGUGCUGCAUUUCAAACUGGAAGUCUAGAGUGCAAGAGAAGAGAAUGGAAUUCCUAGUGUAGCGGUGAAAUGCGUAGAGAUUAAAGAAGAACACCUGUGGCGAAGGAGAUUCUCUGGACUGUAUCUGACUCUGAGGCUCAAAAGCGUGGGGAGCAAACAAGAUUAGAUACCGUGGUAGUCCACGCCAUAAAAUGAUGAAUUCUAUCUGU
Molecule: ribosomal RNA, 715 nt
Filed under: uncultured bacterium
Lineage: Bacteria
Description: bacterial SSU rRNA
Rfam family: Bacterial small subunit ribosomal RNA
Source: RNAcentral